This 910-nucleotide ribosomal RNA is filed under the name uncultured bacterium. RNAcentral describes it as "bacterial SSU rRNA". It matches the Rfam family "Bacterial small subunit ribosomal RNA", at positions 8 to 916 of the family's 1533-position model. The record is from RNAcentral.
AGAGUUUGAUCAUGGCUCAGGAUGAACGCUGGCGGCAGGCUUAAUACAUGCAAGUCGAACGGUAACAGAGCUAGCAAUAGCUGCUGACGAGUGGCGGAUGGGUGCGUAACGCGUAUGCAACCUACCUGUAAUUGGAACAUAACGUUGAGAAAUUAGCGCUAAUAUUCCAUGUGGAUAUGAGACGGCAUCGUUUUAUAUUUAAAGAUUUAUUGAUUACAGAUGGGCAUGCGUAUCAUUAGCUAGUUGGUAAGGUAACGGCUCACCAAGGCAACGAUGAUUAGGGGUUCUGAGAGGAUAUCCCCCCACACUGGAACUGAGACACGGUCCAGACUCCUACGGGAGGCAGCAGUAGGGAAUAUUGGGCAAUGGAGGCAACUCUGACCCAGCCAUGCCGCGUGAAGGAAUACAGCCCUACGGGUUUUAAACUUCUUUUAUUAUAGAGUAACCGGAGGUACGUGUACCUCCCUGCAAGUAUAUAAUGAAUAAGGAUCGGCUAACUCCGUGCCAGCAGCCGCGGUAAUACGGAGGAUCCGAGCGUUAUCCGGAUUUAUUGGGUUUAAAGGGUGCGCAGGCUGAUCGAUAAGUCAGGGGUGAAAAAUUUCAGCUUAACUGGAAUCGUGCCUUUGAUACUGUCGGACUAGAGUGUAACUGACGUGACUGGAAUGUGCCGUGUAGCGGUGAAAUGCUUAGAUAUGUCACAGAACGCCAAUCGUGAAGACAGGUCACGAAGUUACUACUGACGCUCAUGCACGAAAGCGUGGGGAUCAAACAGGAUUAGAUACCCUGGUAGUCCACGCUGUAAACGAUGAUUACUCGUUGUUGGGCAUUUAUGCUCAGUGGCCAAGCGAAAGUGAUAAGUAAUCCACCUGGGGAGUACGAUCGCAAGGUUGAAACUCAAAUGAAUUGACGG